AUGGGAGUAAGGGCUCGGCUGAGAUUACACAUCACUGCGAACGAACUUAUUCACUCUUCGAAGCCCCCACCACCUUCUUUCUUUGAGCCGAGCACUUUACUUCGGCUGUGGUCAUUGCCUACCGGUAAACUCCCAUACUUCCUUCUUUUGUUCGAGGGAGGCCAUACAUCUUCCUUCUUUGGUUGGAUCCAGAGAAAACAUGGUGGCCGGAGACAAGGUAUAAACCAGCAGCAACCAAUAGAGGAGUCAGCCGGUUAUGAUGCAGCAACAGUUCUUAUCCAUCCCAUUUUAAGGACAAAUCCUAAUGUUGGUAAAAUAUACAUGUUGAUCAAGGCCAAGGACAAUGAAGCAGCCAUGAAAAGAUUGAAGAACGAGGAAAUCCAUGGGAAAAACUACCACAGCUUUGUAUUAAGCAAGCAGGUUCCAGUCGUUGGUAAUUUCAGGGAAGCCUACAUUGGCAUUGCUCCUGAGUUAGCCAAAGAGAUCGCGGAAGAAGUGGAUGUUAUCGUAAACUCUACAGCAAAUACCACUUUUGAUGAGAGGUAUGAUGUAGCACUAGACAUCAACACCGUGGGGCCAUUUCGGAUAAUGAGUUUCGCGCGGCGGUUUCGAAGACUGAAGCUCUUCUUGCAAGUAUCAACAGCAUAUGUGAAUGGGCAGAGGCAAGGUUUGGUACUAGAGAAGCCAUUUUGCUUAGGGGAUACCAUAACAAAGGGGAUAGGUUCCUCAGAUUUUUCGGCACAUCAGAAUACCGUGUUGGAUAUCGAGGCUGAGAUCAAGUUGGCUUUUGACUCCAGAAGGCAUUCUUCUGCCUCUGCUUCUGUUACUCAAGAAAUGAAAGAGUUAGGUAGUCGAGAUAAUGAGCAUUCUGGAGGAUGCGCUCCAUGGGAAGAAAACACCUGUUGUUUACCUAAACAUAACAAGGAUGACAGACUACAGGAAGGAGGCACACCCUUUUAUCGGAAGCAGAAGUUGACUGAGCAGGAGCGGAAGUCGCCUGAGUUAUACCUGGACUGUAGCCACUGGUGCCUUCCAGGAGUACCGGACUCCUGGAACGAGCUCCUCUAUGCACAGAUUCAGGUCAAACAGCAUCAGAGACUACACCAAUAA
Molecule: ribosomal RNA, 1110 nt
Filed under: Triticum aestivum (bread wheat)
Lineage: Eukaryota; Viridiplantae; Streptophyta; Magnoliopsida; Poales; Poaceae
Description: partial small subunit ribosomal RNA
Source: RNAcentral